GCCCGGAUAGCUCAGUCGGUAGAGCAUAAGAUUGAAAAUCUUUGUGUCAGUAGUUCGAUUCUACUUUCGGGCA
This 73-nucleotide transfer RNA is filed under the name Jakoba libera. Its description in RNAcentral is "tRNA-Phe". It matches the Rfam family "tRNA". From Rfam's summary of the family: Transfer RNA (tRNA) molecules are approximately 80 nucleotides in length. Their secondary structure includes four short double-helical elements and three loops (D, anti-codon, and T loops). The record is from RNAcentral. Lineage: Eukaryota; Jakobea; Jakobida; Jakobidae.